CCUACGGGAGGCAGCAGUGGGGAAUAUUGGACAAUGGGGGGAACCCUGAUCCAGCGACGCCGCGUGAGUGACGAAGUAUUUCGGUAUGUAAAGCUCUAUCAGCAGGGAAGAAAGAAAUGACGGUACCUGACUACGAAGCCCCGGCUAACUACGUGCCAGCAGCCGCGGUAAUACGUAGGGGGCAAGCGUUAUCCGGAUUUACUGGGUGUAAAGGGAGCGUAGACGGCGAUGCAAGUAUGAAGUGAAAGGCGGGGGCCCAACCCCCGGACUGCUUUGGAAACUGUAUGGCUGGAGUGCAGGAGAGGUAAGUGGAAUGCCUAGUGUAGCGGUGAAAUGCGUAGAUAUUAGGAGGAACACCAGUGGCGAAGGCGGCUUACUGGACUGUAACUGACGUUGAGGCUCGAAAGCGUGGGGAGCAAACAGGAUUAGAUACCCCUGUAGUC
This 443-nucleotide ribosomal RNA is filed under the name uncultured bacterium. RNAcentral's name for it is "partial 16S ribosomal RNA". It matches the Rfam family "Bacterial small subunit ribosomal RNA", at positions 338 to 795 of the family's 1533-position model. The record is from RNAcentral.